UUAUCCUAUUUUUAUAGGAUAGAGAGACGGCUUCUGAUAGACCCUCGAUAAUGAUGCACAAGACCAAAAAAAAACUCCAGUUUUUUGUUAUUAUAUUGCAUGGCUUAACUAUGCAGUAUUAUUUCAACUAUCUAGUUUUAGUAAUUAGUUCUUAUUAACCUUGAACUACUGCCCUUGAACUGGUGCAUAUAGUUGUCAAACUUGAAUUAAAAAAUUAGUAAAGGAUGG
RNAcentral lists this long non-coding RNA (228 nucleotides) under Capsicum annuum. RNAcentral describes it as "long non-coding RNA (CANN_LNC018981)". The record is from RNAcentral. Lineage: Eukaryota; Viridiplantae; Streptophyta; Magnoliopsida; Solanales; Solanaceae.